Molecule: ribosomal RNA, 935 nt
Filed under: uncultured prokaryote
Description: bacterial SSU rRNA
Rfam family: Bacterial small subunit ribosomal RNA
Source: RNAcentral
GUGCCAGCCGCCGCGGUAAGACGUAGGGGGCAAGCGUUGUCCGGAAUGACUGGGCGUAAAGGGCGUGUAGGCGGCACGGUACGUUGCGGUUUUAAGCCGUCGGCUCAGCCGGCGGAGGGUCGCAAAACGGCCGCGCUGGAGGGCAGGAGAGGUGCGGGGAAUUCCUGGUGGAGCGGUGAAAUGCGUAGAGAUCAGGAAGAACACCGGUGGCGAAGGCGCCGCACUGGCCUGGCCCUGACGCUGAGGCGCGACAGCGUGGGGAGCGAACGGGAUUAGAUACCCCGGUAGUCCACGCCGUAAACGAUGGGUACUAGGUGUUGCGCGGGUGCACCGCGCGGUGCCGGAGCUAACGCACUAAGUACCCCGCCUGGGGAGUACGGCCGCAAGGUUGAAACUCAAAGGAAUUGACGGGGGCCCGCACAAGCAGUGGAGCAUGUGGUUUAAUUCGACGCAACGCGCAGAACCUUACCAGGGCUAGACAGGAUCGUGAGCGCCGCGAAAGCGGCGGGCGUCCGCAAGGGCGAGCGGUCAGCAGGUGCUGCAUGGUUGUCGUCAGCUCGUGUCGUGAGAUGUUGGGUUAAGUCCCGCAACGAGCGCAACCCUCGUCGGAUGUUGCCAGCGGGGAAGCCGGGCACUCAUUCGAGACCGCCGGGGACGACCCGGAGGAAGGUGGGGAUGACGUCAAAUCCGCAUGGCCUUGAUGUCCUGGGCGACACACGUGCUACAAUGGCCGCGACAGUGGGCAGCGAAGGCGCGAGCUGGAGCGAAUCCGCGAAACGCGGUCGUAGUUCGGAUUGCAGGCUGCAACUCGCCUGCAUGAAGCUGGAAUUGCUAGUAAUCGCGGAUCAGCAUGCCGCGGUGAAUUCGUUCCCGGGCCUUGUACACACCGCCCGUCACACCACGAGAGUCGGCCACACCCGAAGCCGGGGACGCCA